This 1306-nucleotide ribosomal RNA is filed under the name Staphylococcus aureus. Its description in RNAcentral is "partial 23S ribosomal RNA". It matches the Rfam family "Bacterial large subunit ribosomal RNA", at positions 1 to 1307 of the family's 2925-position model. Lineage: Bacteria; Bacillati; Bacillota; Bacilli; Caryophanales; Staphylococcaceae. The record is from RNAcentral.
AGAUUAAGUUAUUAAGGGCGCACGGUGGAUGCCUUGGCACUAGAAGCCGAUGAAGGACGUUACUAACGACGAUAUGCUUUGGGGAGCUGUAAGUAAGCUUUGAUCCAGAGAUUUCCGAAUGGGGAAACCCAGCAUGAGUUAUGUCAUGUUAUCGAUAUGUGAAUACAUAGCAUAUCAGAAGGCACACCCGGAGAACUGAAACAUCUUAGUACCCGGAGGAAGAGAAAGAAAAUUCGAUUCCCUUAGUAGCGGCGAGCGAAACGGGAAGAGCCCAAACCAAAAAGCUUGCUUGUUGGGGUUGUAGGACACUCUAUACGGAGUUACAAAGGACGACAUUAGACGAAUCAUCUGGAAAGAUGAAUCAAAGAAGGUAAUAAUCCUGUAGUCGAAAAUGUUGUCUCUCUUGAGUGGAUCCUGAGUACGACGGAGCACGUGAAAUUCCGUCGGAAUCUGGGAGGACCAUCUCCUAAGGCUAAAUACUCUCUAGUGACCGAUAGUGAACCAGUACCGUGAGGGAAAGGUGAAAAGCACCCCGGAAGGAGAGUGAAAUAGAACCUGAAACCGUGUGCUUACAAGUAGUCAGAGCCCGUUAAUGGGUGAUGGCGUGCCUUUUGUAGAAUGAACCGGCGAGUUACGAUUUGAUGCAAGGUUAAGCAGUAAAUGUGGAGCCGUAGCGAAAGCGAGUCUGAAUAGGGCGUUUAGUAUUUGGUCGUAGACCCGAAACCAGGUGAUCUACCCUUGGUCAGGUUGAAGUUCAGGUAACACUGAAUGGAGGACCGAACCGACUUACGUUGAAAAGUGAGCGGAUGAACUGAGGGUAGCGGAGAAAUUCCAAUCGAACCUGGAGAUAGCUGGUUCUCUCCGAAAUAGCUUUAGGGCUAGCCUCAAGUGAUGAUUAUUGGAGGUAGAGCACUGUUUGGACGAGGGGCCCCUCUCGGGUUACCGAAUUCAGACAAACUCCGAAUGCCAAUUAAUUUAACUUGGGAGUCAGAACAUGGGUGAUAAGGUCCGUGUUCGAAAGGGAAACAGCCCAGACCACCAGCUAAGGUCCCAAAAUAUAUGUUAAGUGGAAAAGGAUGUGGCGUUGCCCAGACAACUAGGAUGUUGGCUUAGAAGCAGCCAUCAUUUAAAGAGUGCGUAAUAGCUCACUAGUCGAGUGACACUGCGCCGAAAAUGUACCGGGGCUAAACAUAUUACCGAAGCUGUGGAUUGUCCUUUGGACAAUGGUAGGAGAGCGUUCUAAGGGCGUUGAAGCAUGAUCGUAAGGACAUGUGGAGCGCUUAGAAGUGAGAAUGCCGGUGUGAGU